Molecule: ribosomal RNA, 447 nt
Filed under: uncultured bacterium
Lineage: Bacteria
Description: partial 16S ribosomal RNA
Rfam family: Bacterial small subunit ribosomal RNA
Source: RNAcentral
UCCAGACUCCUACGGGAGGCAGCAGUGGGGAAUAUUGCACAAUGGGGGGAACCCUGAUGCAGCGACGCCGCGUGAGUGAAGAAGUAUUUCGGUAUGUAAAGCUCUCUCAGCAGGGACGAAGAUGACGGUACCUGCAGAAGAAGCCCCGGCUAACUACGUGCCAGCAGCCGCGGUAAUACGUAGGGGGCAAGCGUUAUCCGGAUUUACUGGGUGUAAAGGGAGCGUAGACGGCAGGGCAAGCCAGAAGUGAAAACGCAGAGCUUAACUUUGCGACUGCUUUUGGAACUGCCCAGCUAGAGUGCAGGAGAGGUAAGUGGAAUUCCUAGUGUAGCGGUGAAAUGCGUAGAUAUCAGGAGGAACACCGGUGGCGAAGGCGGCCUGCUGGACUGCGACUGACGUUGAGGCCCGAAAGCGUGGGGAGCAAACAGGAUUAGAUACCCCAGUACA